This 497-nucleotide ribosomal RNA is filed under the name uncultured bacterium. RNAcentral's name for it is "partial 16S ribosomal RNA". It matches the Rfam family "Bacterial small subunit ribosomal RNA", at positions 28 to 507 of the family's 1533-position model. The record is from RNAcentral.
GAUGAACGCUGGCGGCGUGCCUAAUACAUGCAAGUCGAGCGAACGGACGAGAAGCUUGCUUCUCUGAUGUUAGCGGCGGACGGGUGAGUAACACGUGGAUAACCUACCUAUAAGACUGGGAUAACUUCGGGAAACCGGAGCUAAUACCGGAUGAUAUUUUGAACCGCAUGGUUCAAUAGUGAAAGACGGUCUUGCUGUCACUUAUAGAUGGAUCCGCGCUGCAUUAGCUAGUUGGUAAGGUAACGGCUUACCAAGGCAACGAUGCAUAGCCGACCUGAGAGGGUGAUCGGCCACACUGGAACUGAGACACGGUCCAGACUCCUACGGGAGGCAGCAGUAGGGAAUCUUCCGCAAUGGGCGAAAGCCUGACGGAGCAACGCCGCGUGAGUGAUGAAGGUCUUCGGAUCGUAAAACUCUGUUAUUAGGGAAGAACAUAUGUGUAAGUAACUAUGCACAUCUUGACGGUACCUAAUCAGAAAGCCACGGCUAACUACGUG